GGCGCCAAGAAAUUUCUGACAUCGCAACAAAUAGUAUUCAUGAGGCGAAGAGGAAGUACCCAUACAUGAUGAGCUUUGAGCGGUGACUUUGCAAGACUAACUAAGAUUGACCCUUCACCUUGUAUUGCAAAAGGGAUCAACAAAAUUGUGAAAAUGGCAGAAAUGAAACGCAUCCCUUGCGAAGCAAGUGUAAUGGUAUCACUUGAACAGGCUCGUGAGAUGUCACCGGAGAGGCUGCGAACACGACGACCCGAGCGUUCCUGCAACCCCUUGCAUCGUAUUUUCUGGAGCAGACGUUGUAGAGGCUGACCUUCUCCACAUCAAGGUGGACCGCGAGAAGUUGUUUGCGGUGAAAAAUGGGGAGGAGGGGCUGGCGGCUGUCUUAUCUGCUUACUGGCUCUUCAAUACCCAGUACGACCGCAAGCUGUUCAACACUCUUGUCGUGUUGGAGCGCCUUUUCCUCGGGCUUACAUUGAGUGCCCCUAGAGUAGUGGCUACAAAGUUCUUGAACAAAGUCACCAAAAGUGAGCCAUGUUGAAUGUGCUGUUGGCCGUCUUGGCCGUAA
This 565-nucleotide long non-coding RNA is filed under the name Dermacentor andersoni. Its description in RNAcentral is "uncharacterized LOC126522336". The record is from RNAcentral. Lineage: Eukaryota; Metazoa; Arthropoda; Arachnida; Ixodida; Ixodidae.